Molecule: ribosomal RNA, 553 nt
Filed under: Ralstonia mannitolilytica
Lineage: Bacteria; Pseudomonadati; Pseudomonadota; Betaproteobacteria; Burkholderiales; Burkholderiaceae
Description: bacterial SSU rRNA
Rfam family: Bacterial small subunit ribosomal RNA
Source: RNAcentral
GGGUGAGUAAUACAUCGGAACGUGCCCUGUAGUGGGGGAUAACUAGUCGAAAGAUUAGCUAAUACCGCAUACGACCUGAGGGUGAAAGUGGGGGACCGCAAGGCCUCAUGCUAUAGGAGCGGCCGAUGUCUGAUUAGCUAGUUGGUGGGGUAAAGGCCCACCAAGGCGACGAUCAGUAGCUGGUCUGAGAGGACGAUCAGCCACACUGGGACUGAGACACGGCCCAGACUCCUACGGGAGGCAGCAGUGGGGAAUUUUGGACAAUGGGCGAAAGCCUGAUCCAGCAAUGCCGCGUGUGUGAAGAAGGCCUUCGGGUUGUAAAGCACUUUUGUCCGGAAAGAAAUGGCUCUGGUUAAUACCUGGGGUCGAUGACGGUACCGGAAGAAUAAGGACCGGCUAACUACGUGCCAGCAGCCGCGGUAAUACGUAGGGUCCAAGCGUUAAUCGGAAUUACUGGGCGUAAAGCGUGCGCAGGCGGUUGUGCAAGACCGAUGUGAAAUCCCCGAGCUUAACUUGGGAAUUGCAUUGGUGACUGCACGGCUAGAGUGUGUCA